GACGAACGCUGGCGGCGUGCUUAAUACAUGCAAGUCGAACGGAAAGGCCCUGCUCUUGUGGGGUGCUUGUGUGGCGAACGGGUGAGUAACACGCGAGUAUACUGUCCCUGUCUUUGGGAUAUCUCUAGGAAACUGGGGCUAUUACCGGAUAGGAGCUUCUGCUGCAUGGUGUUGGUUGGAAAGAUUCGGCGGUAGGGGAUGGACUCGCGGCUUAUCAGCUUGUUGGUCAGGUUGUGGCUUUCCAAGGCUGCGACGGGUAGCCGGCCUGAGAGGGGAACCGGCCACAUGGGGACUGAGAGACGGACCAGACGCCUACGUGACGCAGCAGUGGAAAACAUGACGCAGUGACCGGAAGCCAGAGGCAGCAACGCCGCGUGCGGAAUAACGGCCUUCGAGGGAUAAACCGCUGUCUACGGUAACGAAGCGAGAGUGACGGUAAUGGGUAAAGAAGCACCGGCUAACUACGUG
RNAcentral lists this ribosomal RNA (468 nucleotides) under uncultured bacterium. RNAcentral's name for it is "partial 16S ribosomal RNA". It matches the Rfam family "Bacterial small subunit ribosomal RNA", at positions 28 to 507 of the family's 1533-position model. The record is from RNAcentral.